UCCCAGACUCCUACGGGAGGCAGCAGUGGGGAAUAUUGCACAAUGGGGGGAACCCUGAUGCAGCGACGCCGCGUGGGUGAAGGAGCACCUCGGUGCGUAAAGCCCUAUCGGCAGGGAAGAAACAGACGGUACCUGACUAAGAAGCCCCGGCUAACUACGUGCCAGCAGCCGCGGUAAUACGGGGGGUGCAAGCGUUGUCCGGAAUCAUUGGGCGUAAAGCGUUCGUAGGCGGUAUGUCAAGUCUGAUGUUAAAGCCCGGGGCUCAACUCCGGUUCGGCAUUGGAUACUGGCAAACUAGAAUGUGGUAGAGGUAAAGGGAAUUCCUGGUGUAGCGGUGAAAUGCGUAGAUAUCAGGAGGAACAUCGGUGGCGAAAGCGCUUUACUGGACCAUUAUUGACGCUGAGGAACGAAAGCCAGGGGAGCAAAUGGGAUUAGAUACCCUCGUA
Molecule: ribosomal RNA, 446 nt
Filed under: uncultured bacterium
Lineage: Bacteria
Description: partial 16S ribosomal RNA
Rfam family: Bacterial small subunit ribosomal RNA
Source: RNAcentral